UACGUAGGGGGCAAGCGUUGUCCGGAUUUAUUGGGCGUAAAGCGCGUGUAGGUGGCCAAGUGGGUCCGCUGUGAAAACUUGAGGCUCAACCUCAAGCUGUCGGUGGAAACCCCUUGGCUAGAGUCCGGAAGAGGAGAGUGGAAUUCCUGGUGUAGCGGUGAAAUGCGCAGAUAUCAGGAAGAACACCAAUGGCGAAGGCAGCUCUCUGGGACGGUACUGACACUGAGACGCGAAAGCGUGGGGAGCGAACAGG
This 253-nucleotide ribosomal RNA is filed under the name uncultured bacterium. Its description in RNAcentral is "partial 16S ribosomal RNA". It matches the Rfam family "Bacterial small subunit ribosomal RNA", at positions 524 to 776 of the family's 1533-position model. The record is from RNAcentral.